RNAcentral lists this long non-coding RNA (519 nucleotides) under Equus caballus (horse). Its description in RNAcentral is "lncRNA (ENSECAG00000047297.1)". Lineage: Eukaryota; Metazoa; Chordata; Mammalia; Perissodactyla; Equidae. The record is from RNAcentral.
GUUUGAUCCCAAACUCUUUCCUGUCUCCACCUCUAUUCUCUGCCUGCCUGAAACCAGAGAGGGUUAAAACAGGAAAGAAGAUGGAAUUGUUCCCUGGUCCUCUCUUUUAUCAGGUGCGGGAGUCCUGCCCCCAUCCCAGGCCUCAGGAAGAGAAAGAAGAACGAGACACAGUCAUACUCAUCUCAGCAGAGGUCAAGACAGCAGUCUGCAUCAAUAAUAGAAUAGCAUCUCAUUCUGCAGCCUCUGCCUUCUGGUUUGUUUUCCCAAGUACGAUGACUUUGCAGGCACACGGUUAAAAAGACUGGCCAACUGAUGCCUACUGGAAAGAAGGAAUGUUCUCCCCCAGGACAAAUUCUAUCUCAACCACAGAAUGCAAAAUGCUUCUCCUCCUGCUUUAAGAGUCUUAAAUGCUCUAAAUUCACUCCACCUCAAGCAAUAGAAAAAAACUACUGGCAGCCUUAAAAUAGUAGCUUGUCCCUGGUUCACACUCCAAGUAUUUUUAUGCACAUCAAUACAAGC